UGGGAACAAGAAUGUUCAGAGAGAGAGAGGGGUCUAGAGGUGGGAACAGGAAUGUUCAGAGAGAGAGAGGGGUCUAGAGGUGGGAACAGGAAUGUUCAGAGAGAGAGAGGGGUCUAGAGGUGGGAACAGGAAUGUUCAGAGAGAGAGAGGGGUCUAGAGGUGGGAACAGGAAUGUUCAGAGAGAGAGAGGUCUAGAGGUGGGAACAGGAACGUUCAGAGAGAGAGGGGUCUAGAGGUGGGAACAGGAAUGUUCAGAGAGAGAGAGAGGUCUAGAGGUGGGAACAGGAACGUUCAGAGAGAGAGAGAGGUCUAGAGGUGGGAACAGGAACGUUCAGAGAGAGAGAGGGGUCUAGAGGUGGGAACAGGAACGUUCAGAGAGAGAGAGGUCU
This is a long non-coding RNA of Oncorhynchus tshawytscha (Chinook salmon), 389 nucleotides long. NCBI's taxonomy places the organism in Eukaryota, Metazoa, Chordata, Actinopteri, Salmoniformes, Salmonidae. The record is from Ensembl.